This 75-nucleotide transfer RNA is filed under the name Prevotella sp. CAG:520. Its description in RNAcentral is "transfer RNA-Thr(TGT)". It matches the Rfam family "tRNA". Rfam says of the family: Transfer RNA (tRNA) molecules are approximately 80 nucleotides in length. Their secondary structure includes four short double-helical elements and three loops (D, anti-codon, and T loops). Lineage: Bacteria; Pseudomonadati; Bacteroidota; Bacteroidia; Bacteroidales; Prevotellaceae. The record is from RNAcentral.
GCUUCAAUAGCACAGUGGUAGUACAGCUCCCUUGUAAUGAGCAGGUCGUAGGUCCGAAUCCUACUUGAAACUCCA